Molecule: long non-coding RNA, 659 nt
Organism: Benincasa hispida (wax gourd)
Lineage: Eukaryota; Viridiplantae; Streptophyta; Magnoliopsida; Cucurbitales; Cucurbitaceae
Source: RefSeq, a predicted model, not a curated record
GGGGAAUUAGGACAAGGAGAUUUGAGAUUUGAUUUCAUGGCGUCGAUUAUGUAUUGCAUUGUCCAGAAGGUGUUUGGUCCUGUUGCGCAUCCUAAAUCGGCAAGACGAAUCGUGUUCGACGAUGAAGAAGAAGAAGAAAUUAGACCAUCUGAUCGGUACUUUAGACAUGCAACUUAAGAAGGUUGAGGCAGGGGUUGUGUGCCCUUGCAACUAUUCCAUUAGGAUCAAAAGUAGUAAACUUGUGAGAGCUUAGAGGAAGGGAGAUUGAUGACUCAAGUACGUCGACAAUAGAUUCUUUAAAAGUAGGAAUUGUAGUUUUCAAAGUUGCUUGAGCAGAUACUGAAUCAAGCAUGAUUCUAGAAGUUCCCAUGAGCGUGGAUGGAGAAAAAAUGACAAACAAGAAGAAAAAUGUGAAGAAUACAGUAUCAUGUUGAAGUACCAUUGAACAGAAAUGAAAAAUAGGAAUGCAAAAUAAUAAGUGAAGGUUAGUUCAAAGUUUUUUAGAUUUUUGGUGUUUAAGGGAUGUGUUAUAGUGUUGUGGGGAGGGAUUUAAAUAGAUAGUAGAGAGAGAGGAUGGUAUAAACAUAAAAAUAUAUAAAGUCCAUAUUAGUUUAUUUACUAAUAUAGAGAAUAGACUAAAUUAUGAAAGAAAAAAAUAA